RNAcentral lists this ribosomal RNA (245 nucleotides) under uncultured bacterium. RNAcentral's name for it is "partial 16S ribosomal RNA". It matches the Rfam family "Bacterial small subunit ribosomal RNA", at positions 524 to 767 of the family's 1533-position model. The record is from RNAcentral.
UACGGAGGAUCCGAGCGUUAUCCGGAUUUAUUGGGCGUAAAGGGUCCGCAGGUGGCGAUGUAAGUCUGACGUGAAAUCCCGCGGCUUAACCGCGGAACUGCGUCGGAUACUGCUUCGCUGGAGGUUGGUAGAGGAGUCUGGAAUUCACGGUGUAGCGGUGAAAUGCGUAGAUAUGCGGAGGAACACCGAUGGCGAAGGCAAUCCCCUGGGGCCUGCACUGACGCUCAUGCACGAAAGCGUGGGGA